GGGGGGAUAGACGGAUCAGAGAGAGGAUAGACAGACAUGGAUGAGAGAGAGAGGAUAGACAUGAGAGAGAGAGAGGAUAGACAUGGGAGAGAGAGAGGAGAUAGACAUGGGAGAGAGAGAGAGGAUAGACAUGGGAGAGAGAGAGAGGAUAGACAUGGGAGAGAGAGAGAGAGGAUAGACAUGGGAGAGAGAGAGAGGAUAGACAUGGGAGAGAGAGAGGAGAUGGACAUGGGAGAGAGAGAGAGGAUAGAAAUGGGAGAGAGAGAGAGGAUAGACAGACAUGGGAGAGAGAGAGGAUAGACAGAUAUGGGAGAGAGAGAGGAUAGACAGACAUGGGAGAGAGAGAGAGGAUAGACAGACAUGGGGAGAGAGAGAGGAUAGACAUGGGAGAGAGAGAGGAUAGACAUGGGAGAGAGAGAGGAUAGACAUGGGAGAGAGAGAGAUGAUAGACAUGGGAGAGAGAGAGAGGAUAGACA
This is a long non-coding RNA of Oncorhynchus tshawytscha (Chinook salmon), 476 nucleotides long. The record is from Ensembl. NCBI's taxonomy places the organism in Eukaryota, Metazoa, Chordata, Actinopteri, Salmoniformes, Salmonidae.